CAGUCGCCGCGGUAAUACGGAGGAUCCAAGCGUUAUCCGGAUUUAUUGGGUUUAAAGGGUGCGUAGGCGGCCUAUUAAGUCAGGGGUGAAAGACGGUAGCUUAACUAUCGCAGUGCCUUUGAUACUGAUGGGCUUGAAUGCAGCUGAGGUAGGCGGAAUGUGACAAGUAGCGGUGAAAUGCAUAGAUAUGUCACAGAACACCGAUUGCGAAGGCAGCUUACUAAAGUGUGAUUGACGCUGAGGCACGAAAGCGUGGGGAUCAAACAGGAUUAGAUACCCCGGUAGUCCCUGUCUCUUAUAC
RNAcentral lists this ribosomal RNA (301 nucleotides) under uncultured bacterium. RNAcentral describes it as "partial 16S ribosomal RNA". It matches the Rfam family "Bacterial small subunit ribosomal RNA", at positions 509 to 807 of the family's 1533-position model. The record is from RNAcentral.